This 1343-nucleotide long non-coding RNA is filed under the name Equus caballus (horse). RNAcentral describes it as "lncRNA (ENSECAG00000058897.1)". Lineage: Eukaryota; Metazoa; Chordata; Mammalia; Perissodactyla; Equidae. The record is from RNAcentral.
GCUUCCUGGAGGAAGUGAGUGGGGCUCAGAGAGUGGUCCCCCAGGUGAGGGGAAGGCCUGCUCUUCAGCACCCAUGUGUGAGGGGCCUGUGAGGUGCCUGAGGGAGCCCUGGACCAGCGGAGGUGGCCUGGAGGUUUGGUUUGGUGGUUGAGUGAUGGCUGUGAGCCCGUGGUGCUGCCUAAGCAACUGGAAGCCUAAGAUGAGGACAAGGCAGAAGGAGGAAGAGAAGUGAAAAGGAGGAGGCGAGGAAGAAGAGCGAGAAGGAGGAGGAGGAGAGCAGCGCCCUCGGAUCCCAGGCUCAGAGGCCCCGCCUGGCCGGUUCCCUUCCUGGCGGCAUUGGUGACACCUUUGUCCUUCUGGUGCAUUUCAAACUUCUGAGGCAGCUCCAGAAUUGUUGGGUAGGUAGCAAGUUUGGGGUUUUUAUCCUUUUCCUCCUAAUUGCAAGGCCUGUGAGAACAGUUAGCAGUUGCCAUCUGCACAGUAUUCAUUAUCCUGCUGCAGCGGGGGAAAAUGAGUAAUUUUAGCACAAAAUGUAGAACUGCCCUGAAAUUCAAAUUGCAGUAAGUUGACAAGAGUUAUGAUGUUUGUGGAAAAGCUCAUCUAGGAGGCUAAAGGGACCAUGCGGGGAGCAGCAGCCUCACCACCGAGAAAAAUGGCUGCAGUCAGAGGCGGGCGAGGCCUGGGGCGGGCCACUGCCCACUCUGCCCAGAGUGCCAGGGCCGAGGCUGCUUGGCAAUUUUCCCUUCACCCUCUUGCUCUUGACCAUAAAACAAGGCGGAGGAAGCAGGAGGCUGGGGAGCACCUCCGCAAAUAAAGGAGUGAGCAUUCCAGAGAGCAUAGCUGACGAGGCAGAAUUCUUGCCAAGUGAGUUGACUCUGCAUUGAAGGGGAGGUUUCUCCUGCCUUCUGGAAACAGGAUAUUUUCUUAAAGGGGUCACCAAGAUCACCCCUGAUCAGUCCACAAACAAUGUACCUGGGCCUUCAGCCCGUGGCCUACUCCCAGGCCCAGAGGAACGAAUGUCCCGGCAGCAGGAGGAAAGGAACAUGUCUACAGAUACCAGUUGUUCAAAUAAUAGCAAAGAUGGAAAUGCAGCUGCCAAUGUACAAACUGACAACUACCCUAAACACUCUUUUUGGCUCUAGUAACUUGUAAGUCCUUCCUUGCCCUCAAGAAUAAAACCAUUUAGGUUCUGCAUUCUUUGUGCAGAGGCUGGGCACGUGCAGGUCUUUUACGCUGUCUUCCUCAUCAAGUGGCGGAGGGCCCACACCCUUCCGUCCACCACAGCUGGGAGAACUAGCUCCUCUCAGGGUCUGUGGCCCUGGUGAGGCCUCAGUUUAACAGGC